GAUGAACGCUGGCGGCGUGCCUAAUACAUGCAAGUCGAGCGAACAGAUGAGGAGCUUGCUCCUCUGACGUUAGCGGCGGACGGGUGAGUAACACGUGGAUAACCUACCUAUAAGACUGGGAUAUCUUCGGGAAACCGGAGCUAAUACCGGAUAAUAUAUUGAACCGCAUGGUUCAAUAGUGAAAGACGGUUUUGCUGUCACUUAUAGAUGGAUCCGCGCCGCAUUAGCUAGUUGGUAAGGUAACGGCUUACCAAGGCAACGAUGCGUAGCCGACCUGAGAGGGUGAUCGGCCACACUGGAACUGAGACACGGUCCAGACUCCUACGGGAGGCAGCAGUAGGGAAUCUUCCGCAAUGGGCGAAAGCUUGACGGAGCAACGCCGCGUGAGUGAUGAAGGUCUUCGGAUCGUAAAACUCUGUUAUUAGGGAAGAACAAAUGUGUAAGUAACUAUGCACGUCUUGACGGUACCUAAUCAGAAAGCCACGGCUAACUACGUG
Molecule: ribosomal RNA, 497 nt
Filed under: uncultured bacterium
Lineage: Bacteria
Description: partial 16S ribosomal RNA
Rfam family: Bacterial small subunit ribosomal RNA
Source: RNAcentral